RNAcentral lists this long non-coding RNA (1499 nucleotides) under Homo sapiens (human). RNAcentral describes it as "non-protein coding lnc-FRG1-11:4". The record is from RNAcentral. Lineage: Eukaryota; Metazoa; Chordata; Mammalia; Primates; Hominidae.
GAAAUCUCCAAGCAUCAUUCAUUAACAGACUCUGAUAUUCCCUUCAGUCACUGUCAUGGCUAAGAAAGCAACUCCAACCCACACACUGCAAAUAUGAAGGACCACAAAAGGCACGCAGGCUCUGGUUUGCAUAGUGAAGAUGAGCGACCGUGUUCCUAAGCAUGAAGGACCAUGAAAGGCACGCAGGCUCUGGUUUGCAUAGUGAAGAUGAGCGACCGUGUUCCUAAGCAUGAAGGACCACGAAAGGCAUGCAGGCUCUGGUUUGCAUAGUGUGGAUGAGCGACUGUGUCCCUAAGCAUGAAGGACCACGAAAGGCAUGCAGGCUCUGGUUUGCGUAGUGAAGAUGAGUGUCUGUUCCUAAGCAUGAAGGAGGACCACAUGAGGAUCCUGGACACCUACUGCAUGAAUGUAUUCACCCUUUCAGGUCUAGGGACCUGGGUACCUUGGGACAGAGGGAGUGCAGAGCAGAGAAAACCUACCUGUGCAACUGAGAAGGCCGCUCAGGCCACGGGGACAGGGCAGGAAUGCUCUCAGGAGUGUCCCCUGCACCUGAACUUGAUUUCACGCCAUCACCUUCCGCCUCUUAACCAGCAUCUCCUGGACAGUCAGCCGAGUGUUUCCAUGAUACCAGCCAUACCUGAUGCCAGGAGACUCGCUACACUUGGAAGCUCUUCAAGGCAUGCUUAUCUUUGUGAACUGAAUCUUGGAGAAGCAGGAUUGAAAAUAAGAGCUAUCUUUGAGGCUCUAGCACCUACAAGAGACACCCUCCCUCUCCACCGUGGAUCACCUGUCUCACCCGUGUGAGUCUCCACACAGAAACCAGUCAUGGCCCUGCCUUUGCCCCCCUUGAAAUCACCCAAGAGGAUGCUUCAAACUCAGGUUUAACAUCCUCCCAGGAUGUCAACUGGAAGAUCAUGCCGUUCCUGACAAUUAGAAGAGGAGUUCCCUGCUCAAGGGAAGCACAUGGUAGGGUUAAUGCUACAUGGAACAUGAACUUUGAAGAUCCUCAUUUUGGUUUCCAUGAAGGUGGUGAAGGUUCUCCAAAUAAAAGCAUUUCCAAUAAGGGUGAAGAGUAGAGAGCAGUGAUGUUUCCAAAAAGUUUAGAAUUCCUCCUUCAAAUGACUUCCUAAUGAAUAUCAGAAGGCAAUGUGUGGAGUCACAAGUCAUUGGAAUGGCAGCCACUGUGUAAUUUCAACAAAACGCUUCAUCCCUCUGAGCCUCUGGUGGCUCAUCUGUAAAUUAAGGCAAAUUCUAUCUUCAAAUUUCUUCACUCUUUGAUCAACAACUUUUAUUCAACUUUGUUGAAAAGAUCAAAAAAAUUGCAUCUCUGGUUGAAUUUGGUGGCUCUUUUUCUGGUUAAUAUAAAACGUGACUGUCAGAAUCCCAUCUCUAAAUCUUUGUCAAAUUUGUGUGGCCUCCUUUGUGUGCAGUUUACUAGUACAGCCCCAUAAUACUGGAUAAGAUUUUCCCGAAACUUCUGUGGUUUAAAUGAGAUGGUG